This 213-nucleotide long non-coding RNA is filed under the name Elaeis guineensis (African oil palm). Its description in RNAcentral is "long non-coding RNA (EGUI_LNC056655)". The record is from RNAcentral. Lineage: Eukaryota; Viridiplantae; Streptophyta; Magnoliopsida; Arecales; Arecaceae.
GAGAUAGAGUUUAGAUAGGAAGAUAAGAGUCCAAUUCACCUAGGACUCAAAUUUUUGAUGCCACCCAACACCAAUCCUUUUUGCACCCAGAUUUCACAUAGAAAGAAAGGAUUAUGAGAAGUUCUUACAUGCUAAAUAAGAGAGGGGGCGUGGAAAAAUAUUGGUGUCAAAUCUGGUUUGGCGUGGGACUUCACAUGGCGCAUGGAGAGGGAG